Molecule: long non-coding RNA, 1140 nt
Organism: Cicer arietinum (chickpea)
Lineage: Eukaryota; Viridiplantae; Streptophyta; Magnoliopsida; Fabales; Fabaceae
Source: RefSeq, a predicted model, not a curated record
AAAUUGGCAGCUUGGAAGGCUUGUUUACUUUCUUUUUCAUAAUAUGCUUAUCUAUAGCUUUUUUAUUUAUUAUUGCCCAAUAUCUCUUAUCAAUGUCAUUGAGGGAUGGAUUAGAAACUUUGUGUGGUCUGGUGACAUUGACCAUAAAAAAAAAAAAAGAUGAUUACUGUAGUUUGUCUUAAGGUGUGCACUUCUACCAAGGAUGAGGCUUUGGGUUGAGAUAUAUAAGGGGACAUCAAUGAGGCUGCCACCCUCAAGCUAUGUUGGGAGCUGAUAACUUCAAAUUACCAAUGGGUCAUUCUUCUAAGGGUUGAAGUGUUGAGAUAUAAAGGAUCUAAUUUUUGUCAUAUUUUUUCUACUAUUUGGACUGGUUUGAAGCACUGAGUUUUUCAUUACCAAGGAGCAUGGGCAAUGGUGAGCACAUUAAUUUGUGGCAUGAUAAAUGGCCCAAUGUAGUUAUGACUAAUCUUUUCAGUAUUCCCGAGGAAAGGCAUUAUCUGCUUAAUGCUAAGGUGGACAUUAAUAAUGUGCAUAUUGUGAUUGAGAUUUGUAAUAAAUCUUGGAUUUGUGAGCUUUAUUUAAGUUCAUGUGCCUAAUGCUCCUUGCAUUAAGGAAGUGUUAUAGACUUAUAGUAGUCCCCAUCCUUAACAAAGCCAAGUGUAAUAUAUAUGGUACUGGUAACUGAUAAUGGUUUUUUAGGCCUUGAAGCUUGUGGAGGGACUCAAAUGUUAAUUUUUUAGGUGGAUUUGUUGGCAAUUUGAAUAUCGCUACUGCUUUCAAAGUUGAGUUACAUGGGUUGGUGAAUGCUAUUAAGAUAGUUAUAAGAAGAAUUGGAAUAGGCUUUGGUUAGAGGUUGGCUCUCAACUAGUUAUUAUGGAUUUCAAAAGUUCUAGUAUUAUUCUUUGGCAUCUAAGGAUUAGAUGGUUGAAUUGUAUGGAGCUUACAAAGAACAUGCAGUUUUACAUUUCUCAUAAUUUUAGAGUGGACAACCACUAUACAGAUAAAAUUGCUUCUAUUGGCCUUCAACAAAAUGACUUGAUUUGGAUGGUUUCUACUCCACUAUGCAUUUUAGAUUCUUUGAAUUAUAAUAUAUUGGGGUUUACUAAAUUCAUAUUAAUUGAUGUUGAUAUUUGUCAAGGA